GGCCCAGGCGGCCGGCUACCAUGCAAGUCGAGCGGUAACAGGGGUAGCUUGCUACCCGCUGACGAGCGGCGGACGGGUGAGUAAUGCAUAGGAAUCUGCCCGAUAGUGGGGGAUAACCUGGGGAAACCCAGGCUAAUACCGCAUACGUCCUACGGGAGAAAGGGGGCUCCGGCUCCCGCUAUUGGAUGAGCCUAUGUCGGAUUAGCUAGUUGGUAAGGUAAUGGCUUACCAAGGCAACGAUCCGUAGCUGGUCUGAGAGGAUGAUCAGCCACAUCGGGACUGAGACACGGCCCGAACUCCUACGGGAGGCAGCAGUGGGGAAUAUUGGACAAUGGGGGCAACCCUGAUCCAGCCAUGCCGCGUGUGUGAAGAAGGCCCUCGGGUUGUAAAGCACUUUCAGCGAGGAAGAACGCCUAUCGGUUAAUACCCGGUAGGAAAGACAUCACUCGCAGAAGAAGCACCGGCUAACUCCGUGCCAGCAGCCGCGGUAAUACGGAGGGUGCAAGCGUUAAUCGGAAUUACUGGGCGUAAAGCGCGCGUAGGUGGCUUGAUAAGCCGGUUGUGAAAGCCCCGGGCUCAACCUGGGAACGGCAUCCGGAACUGUCAGGCUAGAGUGCAGGAGAGGAAGGUAGAAUUCCCGGUGUAGCGGUGAAAUGCGUAGAGAUCGGGAGGAAUACCAGUGGCGAAGGCGGCCUUCUGGACUGACACUGACACUGAGGUGCGAAAGCGUGGGUAGCAAACAGGAUUAGAUACCCUGGUAGUCCACGCCGUAAACGAUGUCGACCAGCCGUUGGGUGCCUAGAGCACUUUGUGGCGAAGUUAACGCGAUAAGUCGACCGCCUGGGGAGUACGGCCGCAAGGUUAAAACUCAAAUGAAUUGACGGGGGCCCGCACAAGCGGUGGAGCAUGUGGUUUAAUUCGAUGCAACGCGAAGAACCUUACCUACCCUUGACAUCUACAGAAGCCGGAAGAAAUUCUGGUGUGCCUUCGGGAACUGUA
This 999-nucleotide ribosomal RNA is filed under the name Halomonas sp. RNAcentral describes it as "bacterial SSU rRNA". It matches the Rfam family "Bacterial small subunit ribosomal RNA", at positions 32 to 1031 of the family's 1533-position model. The record is from RNAcentral. Lineage: Bacteria; Pseudomonadati; Pseudomonadota; Gammaproteobacteria; Oceanospirillales; Halomonadaceae.